This 292-nucleotide signal recognition particle RNA is filed under the name Saimiri boliviensis boliviensis (Bolivian squirrel monkey). RNAcentral describes it as "Metazoan signal recognition particle RNA (ENSSBOG00000007165.1)". It matches the Rfam family "Metazoan signal recognition particle RNA". From Rfam's summary of the family: The signal recognition particle (SRP) is a universally conserved ribonucleoprotein. It is involved in the co-translational targeting of proteins to membranes. The record is from RNAcentral. Lineage: Eukaryota; Metazoa; Chordata; Mammalia; Primates; Cebidae.
GCUAAAGUAUAGCUAUUAGAGUCCUAACUACCUGGGAGGCUGAGGCAGCAGGAUAGCUUGUGUUCAGGAGUUCUGGGCUGUAUUGUGGUAUGCCAGACAGGUGUCUGCACUAAGUUCAGGAUCAAUACAGUGACCUCCUGGGAGAGGAAACUGCUAGGCUGGCUAAGGAGGGAUGAACUGGUCCAAGUGAGAAAUGGAGGAGGUCAAAACUCUUGUGUUGAUUAGUAAUGGGGUCACACCUGUGAUUAACUACUGUAGUCCAGCCUGGGCCACAUAGCAAGAUCUCACCUCU